This is an RNA transcript of Triticum aestivum (bread wheat), 2223 nucleotides long. It is a transcript of the gene named zinc finger CCCH domain-containing protein 17, with no coding region annotated. The record is from RefSeq and is a predicted model, not a curated record. The transcript has 7 exons. Lineage: Eukaryota; Viridiplantae; Streptophyta; Magnoliopsida; Poales; Poaceae.
AAGUUCACAACCGCCUCGGAGAACAUCUCGCUCCUUUCCGGCCAACAAUACGCCGCGCAGACGCGGUCACAGCCUCCCCGCACCACCGCGAUACCUAGCGCCGCCUCGCCCCCCGCCGUCGCCGCGCCUCCGCGAGACGGGACCCCGCCAUGCCGAUCUCAUCCUCCCUCUCCGCGCGCCUCGGCCCUGGCCCCGCGCCCGCGCGCGCACGAUGGAGUCCUUACGCCCGCCCCUCCGAACCCCGCAGGAGCGGCGCUGGAAGCGGCUGCGCCAAGGCCUCCCGCCCGCCCCUCCGCCUCGAACCCGCGACGGCGAGACUCCUCGGCCCCGCGCGGAGGGCCGAAUCCCGCGGAUCGAGCCGCGGCGCCGCGUUCGGCACCGCAGCCCCUACACCUGCACGACGGCGGCUUGGAGACCUGAAGAAGUCGGACCGGAAGACGGAUCCCAAGCCGGCGGGUACGAAUCCAGAGCCGAUCCAGGAGCCGCGCGUCGAGGAGAGCCGUGGCUGCGGCGGUUUCGCUUUCCUCUGCGCCCUCGCUGGACACAAGGAGGCUAUUACUGGAAUCUCUAUGCCGAUGGGGUCCGACAAGCUCUACUCUGGCAGUGCCGAUGGCUCUGUUCGCGUAUGGGACGGCAACUCUGGCAAGUGUGUUGAUGUCAUCAAGAUGGGAGGGAAGAUUGGCUGUAUGAUCACUCAUGACAAGUGGGUAUUUGUUGGAAUCUCAAAAUCCGUGGAGGCAUGGAACAUACAGACAGGGAUGAAGCUAAGUCUUCAGGGACCUUCUGGGCUUGUUUGUUCCAUGACUAUCAAGGAUGAGAUGCUGUUUGCUGGCAUGGCGGACGGGCGCAUCAUGGCUUGGAAAUUUCCUGCUAAGGAGAUCAACUCGGAACUGGUGGCAAUCCUUGCUGGCCAUGACCGUCAUGUGAUUUCACUUGCUGUCUCAGCAACAAGGCUUUACUCUGGCUCACUUGACAAGACAAUCAGAGUAUGGGACCUUAAAAAUCUUCAGUGUGUCCAAACACUCUCUGAGCAUAAAGCUGCUGUUACUUCUGUGCUUUGUUGGGAUCAGAAGUUACUAUCUUGCUCUCUGGACAAGACCGUAAAGGUCUGGGCUGCUUCAGAAUCUGGAAGCCUUCAACUCAUGCAUACCCAUUCCGAGGAGCAUGUCUCCAUUUCUGGAAGUUGUGACUCCAUCUGCAUUCGGUCAAGCAUUAUAGUUUGCACAGUAUGCCUUUGUUACAUGUCUGGCACGUAGUAGGUGUUCUUCCUAGUAUGCUGGGAAUUUAUCUUGUGCUAUCGAGCAGCAGAUAAAGGGUUUGAGCCUAAUAGAAGCUCUCUUUCUUGGGAAUGGCUGCCAUCAGCCCAUCAGUCUGCUGAGCUCAUCUGUUUCCCUGACUGAAGAGUUAGUAUGGGAGUAUGAAAUAGAUAUGUAAGUAUCAGCAACGUCAUCAGUCUGCUGAGCUCAUCUGUUUCCCUGACUGAAGAGUUAGUAUGGGAGGAUCAAAUAAAAGUGUACCGGCAACGUCAGAAUUGUUAGGAACCUUCAUACAGCAGGAACUAGAUGCAAUACCAGAGCAAUUUGUUCUACGAAAGUCUGAAUGUCCCGAUGUCCGGUUAUUGGCUUUCUCAAGUAUUUCUCUUCCUGGAAGCAUGUUUGUCCGUGUACGUUUGUAAGCUCUGUUAUGAUGUAGUGCAUGAUGCUAGUGUCCUUGAUAAACUUUCUGCUUUGUUAUGGUCCUUGGGGGCAAUGGUUUGUUCCUGAACUUCCUUUCCAACAGUUAAUCAGUUGCUUUCUAGUGUUGCUAAACCUGCAUCCACCCUCCUUUGCAGGGGCUACGCACCCUCUUUGGCAUGCAUCGUCCGGGAAAGACGCCGGUUCUGCUCUGCUCCCUCCACAAGAGCAGCCGCGUCCGCCUGUUGGACCUGCCAUCGUUCGAGGAGAUGGGCACGCUCUCCUCCAAAACAGAAGUGAAGACCAUCGAACUCUCCCAAGGAGGGCCAUCGAGGCUUCUCUUCACUGGAGAUGGCGCGGGCGAGCUCAAGGUGUGGAUGUGGGCGCCCCAGGGCGAGGAGUCCCCGACACCAGCGCUGCCAUAAACGUCAGCUAGACAUGCAUAGGCAUAGUCGAUCAUGCUCAUGCAUGCGCUGAGCUCCACCGCUGUGCUAUGUAGAAAUGUAAAUUAUUAUGCCAUUCAAGUAAAAUAACAGCUCGUCAUUUCCCA